Gossypium arboreum is the source of this 365-nucleotide long non-coding RNA. RefSeq lists it as uncharacterized. NCBI's taxonomy places the organism in Eukaryota, Viridiplantae, Streptophyta, Magnoliopsida, Malvales, Malvaceae. The transcript is spliced from 3 exons. The record is from RefSeq and is a predicted model, not a curated record.
AUUAUCGAAGUAUAUGCAAUCAAUUCGAUAUCAGAGAGCUGAAAACUACAUUUAAUUUGCAAAAAUUUCAAUCUUAUAUAUUCAUAGCAUCACGAAGGAAGCAAAAGAAAAAAAAAAUUGUAGAAUAUUGAAGGUCAUCCCUUGAAGAAAUCCCUUACAUGGCUUCAUGGUGUUCUUCGAGGAUGUUGAUGGAAAUUGGCACGUUGGAGCCUUGGCAUCAUUACUCGACCUCAUUGGAACCAUUACUACUUUUUGGAACAUGUGGAGAUAGAAUCAAGGGUUAUGGCAGACAAAGGAAAGCUUAUGCAUGUGGUGGUUCAAGUUAGAAAGAAAGGAAAUGGAGAGGUAAUUGCUGUAGGUAACCU